CAACUUCUGAUCCUGAUGACCGUAAGAGAGCCCUUGUAAUUGGAGGAGGAAUUGCUAACUUCACUGAUGUAGCUGCAACAUUCAAUGGCAUUAUUAGAGCCUUGAAGGAGAAGGUGAUCAGCUAAAUCUACUUUGCUAAACCCCAAUUUUGUAUGUGUUUUGUUACCAUCUUUUCUAAGUGCAAAACUGACAAUGCCAUAUUUGAUCAAUCAGGAAACAAAGCUUAAGGUUGAUAGGAUGCAUCUUUAUGUUAGGAGAGGAGGUCCCAACUAACAGAGGGGACUCGCAAAAAUGAGGGCACUUGCAGAGGAAAUUGGCCUCCCUAUUGAGGUCUAUGGUCCUGAAGCAACAAUGGCUGGUAUUUGCAAGCAGGCAAUCCAGUGCGUCACUACUGCUGCAUGACAACGUUAUAUGAAGAUGGCUGCUUUCUUCUUGUCUAUCUCACCUUUUCUUCUGUGGCAAGUUUCAAUAUCUCCAUACCUUGUACCAAUUUCUAUUGUUAAGCUCUUUGUACCAAUUUCAUUCUGUCAAAAACCUCAGCAAAGUUGAUGUA
This is a long non-coding RNA of Rosa chinensis, 553 nucleotides long. RefSeq lists it as uncharacterized. The transcript has 2 exons. Lineage: Eukaryota; Viridiplantae; Streptophyta; Magnoliopsida; Rosales; Rosaceae. The record is from RefSeq and is a predicted model, not a curated record.